CCUACGGGGGGCUGCAGUGAGGAAUAUUGGGCAAUGGGCGCAAGCCUGACCCAGCGACGCCGCGUGCAGGAGGAAGUCCUUCGGGAUGUAAACUGCUGUCAGGGGCUAGCAAGCAAAGGGUGUUAACAGCAUCCGGCGUUGAGCCGCCCCAGAGGAAGCCUCGACUAACUCUGUGCCAGCAGUCGCGGUAAGACAGAGGAGGCAAGCGUUGUUCGGAAUCACUGGGCUUAAAGCGCGUGUAGGCGGCGGCGCAAGUGUCGUGUGAAAUCCCACGGCUCAACCGUGGAACUGCACGGCAAACUACGUCGCUUGAGGUUGGUAGAGGUGCCUGGAACUCUCGGUGGAGCGGUGAAAUGCGUUGAUAUCGAGAGGAACGCCGGAAGCGAAAGCGGGGCACUGGGCCGAUUCUGACGCUGAGACGCGAAAGCGUGGGGAGCAAACAGGCUUAGAUACCCGUGUAGUC
This 463-nucleotide ribosomal RNA is filed under the name uncultured Phycisphaerae bacterium. Its description in RNAcentral is "bacterial SSU rRNA". It matches the Rfam family "Bacterial small subunit ribosomal RNA", at positions 338 to 795 of the family's 1533-position model. The record is from RNAcentral. Lineage: Bacteria; Pseudomonadati; Planctomycetota; Phycisphaerae.